Molecule: long non-coding RNA, 5575 nt
Organism: Balaenoptera ricei (Rice's whale)
Lineage: Eukaryota; Metazoa; Chordata; Mammalia; Artiodactyla; Balaenopteridae
Exons: 5
Source: RefSeq, a predicted model, not a curated record
CCCGCCCGGCCCGGCCCGGCCCCUUCCCACCCGGGACUACCGGCGGCUCCACGGGGUCCGCCCCUUGUGCCCGGGGGUCUGCGGAGCGCGCGGGCGCGGUGGGCGCGGGCCUCCCCAGGCCCCUGUCGUCGUCUGGCUCCUCCGGGCGCGAGCCGGGGGCUGGCGGCCGGGACCCCCGACUCUGGGCCUCCCACUUUGGGCCUCAGUUUCCACAUCCACAAACCGGGGAGAUCCCUUUCUGGAGGCCGAGUGAGCGGGCUCCUCCCCACAGCAAAGAGAACUCCGAGCCUCGGACUCUUCCCGUCUGAAGUCCGUGGGAACACCAGCUCCAACAGAUCAUUCUGCCCUUUCUUGGAAACAAGAUUCCAGGGGUGUUCUUCCAAAGGGAACCUUAGAUUUUGCGGUGGAACCUGUGUCCAGAUAGGAAGCCUACACACGGAUGGAGGGAGGCUACCUGAGUGCAGGGAACAAACACGUCUUGACUGUAACCUCAGCAUUUAGCUGGGAUGCGCCCAGGAUGCCAGUGUUCCCCAGGAACUCCGUUUGAAAACCACUGAACUAGAGUUUGGAAGUUAAAAGCCCCCUCACAGGAGGAAGGGGACCGAAAGCGCUAGCUCCGCCCAGCCCAGUCCUGCGUCCGCAUCUGCCUGUACCUCCUGCACAGGGCAGUCACUGAUGGACCCAAGCCCUAGCAGAGACAGCUUGGGAGAGAGAAUGAUGUGAUCGAAGUAUUUAACCCUCAUGUGGAAAAACGAAGAAAAAAAUCCCAUCGGUGGGGUUAAGAACAGAAAGCCUCAGCUGCGGGAAACCAGGGCACGCCGAGCAGUGAUGCCCCAGACGCAGCCGAGGGCUUACUCCGUGGGAAGAGUCACCCGGUCGGAGGAGCCCACGGAACUCACAUUCGUUGUCCCAUCACCCACCUCAGAGGGGCUUCAUCACGGUGACUUGAAGAUGAGGAAACGGAGGCACCACUGGGUCAGGGAUGACAGCAUGUGAAUUGUAUCUCAAUUUUCAAAAAGUCAAAAAUCAACAUUUGGCCAGGACCCGUGCAUAACUUGCAGGGCCCAGCACAGAAUGAAAAUGUGCGGCCCCUUGUUCAGAUACUACGAGGAACUUGAAGGUGGUGACAGCAGACCCCUAAACCGAGCCCGGGGUCCUUCUGAGCCUCUGAGGCCACACAGGCCACACUCCGUGAAGCCAGCCUGGCCUCGGGUUCCCGUCCCGAGUCCGGUGUGUGAACGCCUCCAGCAGGUCAGUGACUCUCAAGCUGGGGACCCAAAUUCCUGGGUCCGUCUGACAAAAUGUUUCAUGUCUUGAGGCUUUUUUCAUUUACUGUCAUCACUCAAGUUCUAGAAACCCUGGGCCAUCUCUCCUCUUAUCAAAAGUCAGUCCCUCCACGCUGGGGACGUGUGUGUAGAAGAGCCAGGUUUUGCACGGGCCCGCAGCCUAUGUAACUUGGGGGCCCUCUUUAAGAAAAAGAACACAAAAUUACAAAUCGAAACUAGGCCUUGAAAGGGCCGCAGGCAGGGAGGAGCCCUGAGGCUGGAGCUUUCCACCCCCGUGGCCCAUCUCCUCUCCUCCACCACUCGAGGGCUAUGUCCCUUCGCUCAUGCCUGUCCCAUCCCGUGUCCUUAAUCCCACCCGGCUAUCACCGUUCCCGCACUCUUCUUCUCUCUCCGGGUGCCCUCCUCGAGCCAAACUUCUUGGAAGGGCUAAGUCUUCACCGCGGACUGCCCCUCCGUCUGCCACCAUCUCCCUCCCUUCCUGCGCCGACAAGUGGCCUCGUUGGGUUCAGCGCUGGAUCCGGCCCCACGUAGCCAGGACCUGUGGACUCUGUCGGUGCUUCUCCAUUGGACUGUCCGGCUAGUUGUCAGCGCUGGGAACGCUCUUUCUCAGGCUCCUCCCUUGGUUCGGUGGCACCAUGACUCCCCUGUGUCCCUCUUAGGUCUCUGUUCCUUUGCUACCCUUUGCGGGCCCUUGUCUUUAUGGCGCAUGAACUAACUGGCCCACCGGGGCCCCGUGCUCCAGCCCUCUUCUCUUUUUCUCUACGCCAUCUCCCUAACCCCAUGUACCUCUUAUGUGCUCAAAAUUUUCUCCCUAGUCUAGUCCAAACCUCUCCUCUGAGCUCCGGCCUCAGAGCUGCCAGCUUGACACCUCCUUUAGGAGGGGCUAUCUCAGUAUGUCCAACACCGGGCUUGGGAUUCCCUUCCCACCCCUCCCCUGGUUUUACUCAUCCCAGUAACAGCACUUCCAUGUAACCGGCUGCUCAAGUCAGAAAUAUGGGAGUCAUCCUUGAUUCAUCAGUAAAUCCUACAGAUCCAUCCCCCAUCACCGCCAAAAACCAGACCGCAAAUGCAUUUAUUGGUACUUCUCUCCAUUUUCCAUGCUGACACCCUCGCCAUCAUGAUAACUAGUCCAUCGUUUCUAAAUUCCAGCGAGAGCCUCAUCACUGGUCAGCUCCCUUCCCCCAUUGCUCCCUCUCAGAUCUGCUUUUCUUUUUCUCUCUGUCCACACCGCACAGCUUGCGGGAUCUCAGUUCCCCAACCAGGGAUUGAACCCGGACCACAGCCGUGAACGCGCCAAAUCCUAACCACUAGACCACUAGGGAAGUCCCUCAAAUCUGUUUUUCGUAAACAGCAAGAGCAGCAGUGUCCACAGAAAUAGAACAUGACCGCGUGUGUAAACAAAAUUCUUCCAGUAGCCACUUUAAAACAGAACAAAACAAAACUGGUGAAAUUAAUUUUAAUCACACAUUCUAUUAACCUAAUAUAUUCAAAAUAUCAUUUCAAUGUGUAAUCAGUGUAAAAAUUACUAAUGAGACACUUUACAUUUUUAAUGUCAUUUUAAAUAUACCAAACCAUGUAUACUGUACACUUACAGUACACCUCAGCUCUGCCGUGCCGUAUUUCAAGUGCUCAGUGGCCACAUGUGGCUGGUAGCUGCCAUACCCAUACAAGAGUCAGAGUGAGUUUUUAACGAAGCAAGUUGGAUUAGGUCAUCACCCGCUUAAUAACUCCUCAGUGGUGGCACGGUGCACAGAGACCUGCAAGGGGAUGCACGGUCUGGCCUCAUCUUGCCAACAUCCUCAACAUCCUCGAGGCCUUCUUCUUGUCGUUCGCUUUGCCCCAGCUGCCUCGGCCUCCUGUCAGCUCUGAGAACACACCAGAUCUCCGUGUCCGCGUGUGCCGUGGCUGACUCUUCCUCACCCUCAAAUUUCAGCUUAAAUACUUUCUCCUCAGACGGGCCUUCCUUGCCCGUAUCGAAGAGGGUCCAUCUCCGUUAUCAUCCGUCGCAGUAUUCUCUCUGUUACCUUCAUAGUGCUUCUUCCAGUUUGUAACUGUAUGUUUACUAGUCAGUUUAUUGUGUGUCUCCCCCAGGAGACCAUGAAUUUCAUGGAGGCAGGAGUUAUCUCCAGCGCCGUAUAAGAUCCUGGCUCUAGUUGGCACUCAGUAAAUGAAUAUCUGAGCACCCUCUCUUCCCUCUCUAAGGGAACUAGCAAACAGAUUUAUUUCAGUAAUGCUGUGCAUCAAAUUACAAUAAAUGCACAAUGAAUAAAUGCAUCAUGGCCGGCAGAGCUUCCUUCCUAUUAAACAAGGAAGGUUUGACUAUAGGCAAAAUUAGAUUUGGUUUAUCUUUGAAGAGAUCUUAAUUAUUCACUCUGCAAACAAGGCAGUUUCCUUGAAAAACUAAGGGCAGCGGUGCCUCUAGGUGUCCCAGAUCUCAGUCGAAUGGCUCCAUGAAAGUGAAGCUGUUACUCUGUGAGCCAGAGCCAGGGACUUCAAAGUCUGGGUGGCUCUGGGGAGAUGGGAGAUGGGAGAUGGUGGAUCUCCUUGAUGCCAGCCAGAGGGAUUCGUCACCGGUUCAUUCAUUCAGCAGAUGUCUGUGAGCCUGUGAACACCUUUACAGCAGGCACUGUGCUAGGCUCUGGGGCUACAGCGCUCAACCAAACAGACGAAAAUCCCUGCCUACAUUCUAGUGAGGGGAGACAGAUGCUAAUUAAGAAACUAAGUAUGCUGUUAUUUCUGGCAAGAGAAAUAAAGUCAGGAACGGGGGUGGGGAGCACAGGGCUUACAGUGUUAGGUAGGGUGACCAGAAAAAGCCUCCCUGAGAUGGUGACCUUUGCAUAAAGAUCUGAAGGAGGUGAGGGACUGGCCCGUGGGGCCGUCUGAGGUGAGAGGGCUCCUGGGGCUAAGGGGACAGUGAGGAGGCCAGCGUGGCUGGAGGAGAGUGAAGAGCAGGGAGAGGAGCUGGAGGUGAGGUCACAGGCUUUGGGAUGGGCGGGCGCAUCACGGGGAACCAGAUGUCGGCCGCUGUGAGGACUCGGGUUCUCUCUCUGGGCGAGGUGGAAGGUCAGGGGAGGGCUGUGAGCCCAAGAGUGACUCGGUGCUGACUUGCGUUUCAAAAGGAUCCUCCCACACGUGUGCGGAAUGAGAAUGCACGAAGCAAGAAAGAAAAGGGGAGAGCUAGCAGGCCUUCACUUGGCACCCAAGCAACAACGCUGGAAACCGCCUCUUCAGAAGUGUGGCUCCGGAUUCACCUUCUCCGUGUGCUAUAGGCCGGGGCGCCCGCGCAUGGGGCCUGGGCUGUGCUCCGGGAGGGCAGGCAGGACGCUGGAGCUCGCGUGACAAGAGCAGCUGAUCGCUGGUGAGGCUGCAGGAGGUCCUGGAGCAGCUUCUUUGUCGCUGGGAAGCUGACCCUCCCGGGUGCGGUCACACAGUGAUGGCUGUGGCCCGGGAGGGUUGGGGAAACCGGCUACGUCUACCGUCGGCCUCUCUCAGCCUGGACAAUCUUUGAGAGAGGCGCGUCUCUUUUGAACUUGCACAGAUGAGAUGGGACAGAGGGGAGAACUAACAUUUCUCAUUGGUGCAGCUUGCAGACUGUGUCAGAAUGUGUUGCUGAAUCUAUUUUGCUCCAACCGUGAGAAAGCAAGACUUACCGUAAACAGAAGAUGUAAUUGUGGGGUUGAGAAUUUAAGGAGCUCCAAAAUGGCUCCUCUAGAUAAAUUUAUCUCUGCUAAUCGUUGUUUACCUCUGCUGCAUUCUUUUACUUUUUCUGUUUUUUAUUUGAAUGGAAACGCGCUUUUUCCUGGUCUCAAAAAAUAAGACAUGGACAUGGUUAAAAAGUCAAGCGGUACAAAAGGGUAAACAAUGCUAAGAAAUGAUAUUGACAUGUAGAGUCCCAAUUAUACAAACAUGUAAAUUCUUCUUAAAUUCAUCCAUAUAUUUGACCCUAUCCCCCAAAAAAUGCCAUCAGAACUUUUCUAGAACUAGACAAGGCAAUGCUAAAGUAAAUGCUGAAAGGUAAGCGUGCAAAAAUUGUGAUAAAAUUCUGAAAAGGAAAAAUAACAGGGUAAGAUUAGCCCUAGAAGAUUGAAAUAUAUUAUAAAAUUACCAUAAUUAAAAGUUUGGGGGCUUCCCUGGUGGCGCAGUGGUUGAGAAUCUGCCUGCCAAUGCAGGGGACACGGGUUCGAGCCCUGAUCUGGGAAGAUCCCACAUGCCACGGAGCAACUGGGCCCGUGAGCCACAAUUACUGAGCCUGCGCGUCUGGAGCCUGUGCUCCGCAACAAGAGAGGCCG